CAUAAAUCCAUUGUAAUGGUUUUGUAAAUUUAACCACAGGUAGCCAUUUUGGUUCAACAUAACUGUCAUCAAGUGCAUGAGGCUCAUUACUACAUUAAUGUUCCUUCAAGUAUGGUGGUUUACAGAGUGAAACUAGAAAAUAUCUACAUGAUGCAUGUUGGUAUGACACAGUUGGCAUAUUCAAAUGGUAAAAUGUCCUGCCCUUUCCUGAUGGUUUCACAUACUAGACAGACUGUUGCAUGGUGCUUAUUCAGUAAGGACAAGAGUCCCUAGAGAAUUGAACUGUGACGAUAGAGAACAGUCUCUUUUCUAUUCAUUGCAUUUCUAUCUAUAACACUAAGUGCGUUACAGAUGUGCUCUACUGAAUGAGCCCCAGUUGUCCAAAACCCAGAUUGAAAUGAAACUGCACCUGCUAUUAAGGAUGGGAACAAAAACACAUACAACCAGCAGCUUUGCUGCAUGCUUGGACCCCUAAUAAGAGAUUAGUUGGUCCUAGUUCAAUUUUCCAGUUCAAGUUUAAACAUAGUUCAAAACACAUAAAAACCUUGGAUUAAGGAGUUGUUUUCCAGACAGAUAACACUCAUACACCAAUGGUUGUUAUAGUCCUUUUCCCCUCUCUUCGGGUUGGCUCAUUCUUGAUAACCACAGAACUUUCGGAGAUGGCUCUCGUAGGAGUAGGUCUACAUGCAAGCUUGAGCGUUAGCUGCAGGCACCGUCUUCUCAUCUAACAUCUACUCAAUGAGACUUUCUAAAGUGCUUGUCAAUGAAGAUUAUGUAAUUAUCCUAUUUGUUUGACUUCAGAUCGACCGCAUCAACUUUGCAGAUGUUUUUUAUGAAUUCGUUCUACUAAGCCUUCUAGAAGGAAAGACAUCUCUUCCUAUAUCUGAGCCUGGUAGCUUCCUUUAUCUGCUCCUGCAAGUCAUAAUGAGGAUUGACCCUCCUGGAGGAGCCUGGACAGAGGCUGCUGAGAACUUCUACCUCCUCGUUAAGGGCCAGAUGAAGGCAUGGCUACAAUCCAUCUUCAACCUCAAUGAGUCAAUCUAUGAAAGCCCAGAGAGGCUCUCGGGGGAGGUGAUGCGGAAUCUAGAAAUACAGGUUGAGUUCCUGCUGUCCAGCCUGGAUUAAGGUUCCCAAACUGAGCUGAGGGCCCCAUCA
Coregonus clupeaformis (lake whitefish) is the source of this 1155-nucleotide long non-coding RNA. RefSeq lists it as uncharacterized. The transcript is spliced from 3 exons. Lineage: Eukaryota; Metazoa; Chordata; Actinopteri; Salmoniformes; Salmonidae. The record is from RefSeq and is a predicted model, not a curated record.